GAUGAACGCUGGCGGCGUGCCCAAUACAUGCAAGUCGAGCGAACAGACGAGGAGCUCGCUCCUCUGACGUUAGCGGCGGACGGGUGAGUAACACGUGGAUAACCUACCUAUAAGACUGGGAUAACUUCGGGAAACCGGAGCUAAUACCGGAUAAUAUAUUGAACCGCAUGGUUCAAUAGUGAAAGACGGUUUUGCUGUCACUUAUAGAUGGAUCCGCGCCGCAUUAGCUAGUUGGUAAGGUAACGGCUUACCAAGGCAACGAUGCGUAGCCGACCUGAGAGGGUGAUCGGCCACACUGGAACUGAGACACGGUCCAGACUCCUACGGGAGGCAGCAGUAGGGAAUCUUCCGCAAUGGGCGAAAGCCUGACGGAGCAACGCCGCGUGAGUGAUGAAGGUCUUCGGAUCGUAAAACUCUGUUAUUAGGGAAGAACAAAUGUGUAAGUAACUAUGCACGUCUUGACGGUACCUAAUCAGAAAGCCACGGCUAACUACGUG
This 497-nucleotide ribosomal RNA is filed under the name uncultured bacterium. RNAcentral describes it as "partial 16S ribosomal RNA". It matches the Rfam family "Bacterial small subunit ribosomal RNA", at positions 28 to 507 of the family's 1533-position model. The record is from RNAcentral.